AGAGUUUGAUCCUGGCUCAGAACGAACGCUGGCGGCGUGGCUGAGACAUGCAAGUCGAACGGUCCGGCACUAAUUUGUUUACAAAUUGAUGCCGGAUAGUGGCGAAAGGGUGAGUAAUGCAUGGGUAACGUACCCCGGGCACCGGGAUAGCAGUACCCGUCACCUAUUUGCUCAGACUAAAGCUCCUGCUCAAGGGGCCAUAUGCUGAGUGAAUAGGUGGCGGGUUUCCGAAAGGGCUGGUAAUACCGGAUUCGGCCAACAGUACUGCGGUACUGUUGAUCAAAGGUGGGGAUCUGCUUCGGCAGACCUACCGGCCUGGGAGCGGCCCAUGUCCCAUCAGCUUGUUGGUAAGGUAACGGCUUACCAAGGCUACGACGGGUACCGGGGCUGGGAGGCUGGCCCGGCACAUUGGGACUGAGACACUGCCCAGACCCCCACGGGGGGCUGCAGUAACGAAUCUUCCGCAAUGGGCGCAAGCCUGACGGAGCGACGCCGCGUGUGGGAUGAAGUCUUUCGGGAUGUAAACCACUGUCAGGGCUACGGAAGCAAUCCGCGACUAAUACGGCGGGGCGUUGACCUAUCCCAGAGGAAGCCACGGCUAANUUNGUGCCAGCAGCCGCGGUAAUACGAAGGUGGCGAGCGUUGUUCGGAAUCACUGGGCUUAAAGAGCACGUAGGCGGUUGGCCAAGCAUCUUGUGAAAACCCUCGGCUCAACCGAGGAACUGCUGGAUGAACUGGCUAACUUGAGCUGCAUAGGGGCGACUGGAACUCUAGGUGGAGCGGUGAAAUGCGUAGAUAUCUAGAGGAACGCCGGUGGUGAAAACGGGUCGCUGGGUGCAAGCUGACGCUGAGGUGCGAAAGCGUGGGGAGCGAACGGGAUUAGAUACCCCGGUAGUCCACGCCGUAAACGAUGGGCACUAGGUUCUGGUGGGUUUGACCCCAUCAGGGCCGAAGCAAAAGUGAUAAGCGCCCCGCCUGGGGAGUACGGUCGCAAGGCUAAAACUCAAAGGAAUUGACGGGGGCUCACACAAGCGGUGGAGCAUGUGGCUCAAUUCGAGGCAACGCGAAGAACCUUAUCCUGGGUUUGACAUGGUUGGAUGCCCUUGGUGAAAGCCAAGUAAGCUGCCUUCGGGUGAAACUANCACANGUGCUGCAUGGCUGUCGUCAGCUCGUGCU
Molecule: ribosomal RNA, 1176 nt
Filed under: uncultured bacterium
Lineage: Bacteria
Description: bacterial SSU rRNA
Rfam family: Bacterial small subunit ribosomal RNA
Source: RNAcentral